ACAGCAGCCGCCGCGGGAAUACAGAGGGUGCAAGCGUUAAUCGGAAUUACUGGGCGUAAAGCGCGCGUAGGUGGUUUGUUAAGUUGGAUGUGAAAUCCCCGGGCUCAACCUGGGAACUGCAUCCAAAACUGGCAAGCUAGAGUAUGGUAGAGGGUGGUGGAAUUUCCUGUGUAGCGGUGAAAUGCGUAGAUAUAGGAAGGAACACCAGUGGCGAAGGCGACCACCUGGACUGAUACUGACACUGAGGUGCGAAAGCGUGGGGAGCAAACAGGAUUAGAUACCCCCGUAGUCCCUGUCUCUUAUAC
RNAcentral lists this ribosomal RNA (305 nucleotides) under uncultured bacterium. RNAcentral describes it as "partial 16S ribosomal RNA". It matches the Rfam family "Bacterial small subunit ribosomal RNA", at positions 508 to 807 of the family's 1533-position model. The record is from RNAcentral.